GCGGCUGUAGCUCAACGGUAGAGCACCCGCCUGUCACGCGGGAGGUCGUGGGGUCAGCACCCAUCAGCCGCGCAA
Molecule: transfer RNA, 75 nt
Filed under: Patescibacteria group bacterium
Lineage: Bacteria
Description: tRNA-Asp
Rfam family: tRNA
About the family: Transfer RNA (tRNA) molecules are approximately 80 nucleotides in length.
Source: RNAcentral